This 905-nucleotide ribosomal RNA is filed under the name Enterococcus faecium. RNAcentral's name for it is "partial 23S ribosomal RNA". It matches the Rfam family "Bacterial large subunit ribosomal RNA", at positions 12 to 918 of the family's 2925-position model. Lineage: Bacteria; Bacillati; Bacillota; Bacilli; Lactobacillales; Enterococcaceae. The record is from RNAcentral.
AUAAGGGCGCACGGUGGAUGCCUUGGCACUAGGAGCCGAUGAAGGACGGGACUAACACCGAUAUGCUUUGGGGAGCUGUACGUAAGCUAUGAUCCAGAGAUUUCCGAAUGGGGGAACCCAACAUCUUUAAUAGGAUGUUACGAUUGUGUGAAUACAUAGCACAUUCGAGGUAGACGCAGAGAACUGAAACAUCUAAGUACCUGCAGGAAGAGAAAGAAAAUUCGAUUCCCUGAGUAGCGGCGAGCGAAACGGGAAAAGCCCAAACCAGCAAGCUUGCUUGUUGGGGUUGUAGGACUCCAAUAUGGUAGUUCUUUCAGAUAGUCGAAUGACUUGGAAAAGUCAGUCAAAGAGGGUAAAAACCCCGUAGACGAAAUGUGGAAGACACCUAGGAGGAUCCUGAGUACGGCGGAACACGAGAAAUUCCGUCGGAAUCCGGGAGGACCAUCUCCCAAGGCUAAAUACUCCCUAGUGACCGAUAGUGAACCAGUACCGUGAGGGAAAGGUGAAAAGCACCCCGGAAGGGGAGUGAAAUAGAACCUGAAACCGUGUGCCUACAACAAGUCAAAGCCCGUUAAUGGGUGAUGGCGUGCCUUUUGUAGAAUGAACCGGCGAGUUACGAUUGCAUGCGAGGUUAAGUUGAAGAGACGGAGCCGCAGCGAAAGCGAGUCUGAAUAGGGCGUUUGAGUAUGUAGUCGUAGACCCGAAACCAUGUGAUCUACCCAUGUCCAGGUUGAAGGUGCGGUAAAACGCACUGGAGGACCGAACCCACGUACGUUGAAAAGUGCGGGGAUGAGGUGUGGGUAGCGGAGAAAUUCCAAACGAACUUGGAGAUAGCUGGUUCUCUCCGAAAUAGCUUUAGGGCUAGCCUCGGAAUUGAGAAUGAUGGAGGUAGAGCACUGUUUGGA